Molecule: long non-coding RNA, 691 nt
Filed under: Linum usitatissimum (flax)
Lineage: Eukaryota; Viridiplantae; Streptophyta; Magnoliopsida; Malpighiales; Linaceae
Description: long non-coding RNA (LUSI_LNC007067)
Source: RNAcentral
GGUCAUGCUAUGACAGCCUCAUUCCUUCCCAUUUUGAGGGACCCCAGUAGACCAAGAUUCUCAUCUGUUUGACACUGUUCAGUCACUUCUUGGAGUGUUUUGAGUGAGACAGAAAACAAAGUCGAAGAAGAAAUAACAAAUCACUGUAAAGUAUAUUCCUUUCUUUUGCAUCUCCUUCCAUGGUGUUGUCUGGCAUGCGCAUACUUGCUUUCAGCUUUCUCAUUCUCAUCACUGUUUUGUAUCAGUCGGCCCAAUGUUCGUCAUUUUGGGUGUUUAUUUCGGUUUCUGAAGGAAAUAUCAAAUAGCGGAGUGGAUACUGUCGCAGGAAUUAAGAAGCCAGUGAAAGAAACCAAACUAAUGGCAGCAUGAUUCAAAUAGGAUCUGAGGAGUGAGGUCUGUUGUAUCUGCUCGUUAACUUGCAGAAGGAAGUUUCCUUCAGUUUCACCAUUGCACACAGUUCUAGUAGUUUUGUUGUUUAUUUGCUGAAGAACUGCUAAUUCUUUAUACCUUCUUGGUAGGAAGUUAUAGACCACAAAACACAAGUGUGUUGUAUCAAUAGGCUUUUGAUUGUAUUAUUAUACUGACACGGUUUGUUUGGUAGACAUUAUAGUUUGUACAAUCCUCAAAAUUUGGUUGGGAGAUUUGGACUCAUAGGCGAUUUGGAGUCGAAUAACUCAUUUAAACACUUAAA